Molecule: ribosomal RNA, 808 nt
Filed under: uncultured archaeon
Lineage: Archaea
Description: bacterial SSU rRNA
Rfam family: Archaeal small subunit ribosomal RNA
Source: RNAcentral
ACGGCUCAGUAACACGUGGCUAACCCACCCUUGAGACGGAGAAAACCCCGGGAAACUGGGGUUAAUCUCCGAUAAGAGAAGACACCUGGAAUGGGUCUCCUCUCAAAGGGCGCCUAGACCAUGCUUCUAGGCGUUGCUCAAGGACGGGGCCGCGGCCGAUCAGGUUGUUGGUGAGGCAACGGCUCACCAAGCCUAUAACCGGUACGGGCCGUGAGAGCGGGAGCCCGGAGAUGGGCACUGAGAUAAGGGCCCAGGCCCUACGGGGCGCAGCAGUUGCGAAAACUCCGCAAUGCACGAAAGUGUGACGGGGCUACCCCGAGUGCCGUCCGCUGAGGACGGCUUUUCCCCGGUGUAAGGAGCCGGGGGAAUAAGGAGAGGGCAAGUCUGGUGUCAGCCGCCGCGGUAAUACCAGCUCUCCGAGUGGUAGGGAUGAUUAUUGGGCUUAAAGCGUCCGUAGCCGGCCCGGCAAGUCUUCCGUUAAAUCCAACGAUUCAAUCGUUGGACUGCAGGAGAUACUGUUGGGCUAGGAGGCGGGAGAGGCCGACGGUAUUCUCGGGGUAGGGGUAAAAUCCUAUAAUCCCGGGAGGACCACCAGUGGCGAAGGCGGUCGGCUAGAACGCGCUCGACGGUGAGGGACGAAAGCUGGGGGAGCGAACCGGAUUAGAUACCCGGGUAGUCGCAGCUGUAAACGAUGCGGGCUAGGUGUUGGGGCGGCUACGGGCCGCUUCAGUGCCGCAGGGAAACCAUUAAGCCCGCCGCCUGGGGAGUACGGCCGCAAGGCUGAAACUUAAAGGAAUUGGCGGGGGAG